RNAcentral lists this ribosomal RNA (508 nucleotides) under uncultured bacterium. RNAcentral's name for it is "partial 16S ribosomal RNA". It matches the Rfam family "Bacterial small subunit ribosomal RNA", at positions 28 to 505 of the family's 1533-position model. The record is from RNAcentral.
GACGAACGCUGGCGGCGUGCUUAACACAUGCGAGUCGAACGAAGAGCGAUGGAAGCUUGCUUCUAUCAAUCUUAGUGGCGCACGGGUGAGUAACGCGUAAUCAACCUGCCCUUCAGAGGGGGACAACAGUUGGAAACGAAUGCUAAUACCGCAUACGAUCUAAUCUCGGCAUCGAGGAUAGAUGAAAGGUGGCCUCUACAUGUAAGCUAUCACUGAAGGAGGGGAUUGCGUCUGAUUAGCUAGUUGGAGGGGUAACGGCCCACCAAGGCGAUGAUCAGUAGCCGGUCUGAGAGGAUGAACGGCCACAUUGGGACUGAGACACGGCCCAGACGCCUACGGGAGGCAGCAGUGGGGAAUCUUCCGCAAUGGACGAAAGUCUGACGGAGCAACGCCGCGUGAGUGAUGACGGCCUUCGGGUUGUAAAGCUCUGUUAAUCGGGACGAAAGGCCUUCUUGCGAAUAGUGAGAAGGAUUGACGGUACAGGAAUAGAAAGCCACGGCUAACUACG